AACGAACGCUGGCGGCGUGGAUUAGGCAUGCAAGUCGAACGCGAAAGAGGGGGGUAACUCCUCGAGUAGAGUGGCGAACGGGUGGAGUAACACGUGAGAAACCUAGCCUUCAGCAGGGGGAGUAACACUCCCAACCGGGGUGGCUAAUACCGCAUGAGACCACGGAUUCGCAUGGAUCUGGGGUCAAAGGUGGCCUCUGCUUGCAAGCUACCGGCUGAAGAUGGUCUCGCGUCCCAUUAGCUAGUUGGUGGGGUAAUGGCCCACCAAGGCGACGAUGGGGUAGCUGGUCUGNGAGGAUGGUCAGCCACACUGGGACUGAGAUACGGCCCAGACUCCUACGGGAGGCAGCAGUCGAGA
RNAcentral lists this ribosomal RNA (357 nucleotides) under uncultured bacterium. RNAcentral describes it as "bacterial SSU rRNA". It matches the Rfam family "Bacterial small subunit ribosomal RNA", at positions 29 to 360 of the family's 1533-position model. The record is from RNAcentral.